AUACUUAUCUGGCAUGGAGAAUACCACAAUCGAGAAGGUGGCUUCCCCAGGGUGAGGCUUUUCCAUUGCUCCCUUCUGUGGGAUUUAGCCAUGUAAAUUCCCCAUAUCUGGGAAACUCAACUGUAUAAUUUAUGGUUUUAAGCAAAUAAACAGAUCUUUUUUUUUUUUU
Protopterus annectens (West African lungfish) is the source of this 169-nucleotide small nuclear RNA. RefSeq annotates it as U1 spliceosomal RNA. The record is from RefSeq and is a predicted model, not a curated record. Lineage: Eukaryota; Metazoa; Chordata; Ceratodontiformes; Protopteridae. The transcript has a single exon.